Molecule: non-coding RNA, 26 nt
Filed under: Mus musculus (house mouse)
Lineage: Eukaryota; Metazoa; Chordata; Mammalia; Rodentia; Muridae
Source: RNAcentral
AUUCGUGGGUNCCGAUGAUAGCUGAG